CCGGUUGCUUAAGCAACACCCCAGGAGAACCGGCAGAGGAGACACAAGCAGAAAACUAAACGGGCCAGAUGUGGCGCUGACUAGGCGGGCUCCAGCCCGCUGCAAGACGCGCUGUGCAGGAAGUCCCACAGCCGCCCAGGCGCUGCGACGCCAGCCAGAGCUAAAACACAUGGGCGCCAGAUAAGCUGAUGACGAUAAACGCCACGCCAGCGCCUGGAAUGAACCGCCGCCCAAAAGGAAACCUAGGGGGCCUGCACAGGUGAUGCAAGCGUCAGCCGCAAGUGCAACUUCGGUGACCCACCCUGAACCUCCUCCACUUCACAAAGCGCGCCACCCGCCGUCCAGAUGGCAACAAAGUGCUCCAGCUUAGCCGCCUUGAGCUGUGCGGUGAGAAGCUGAGUGGGCAGAGCCGACAGGGUUUCAGGGGUUAGCGUGGCGGCAGUGAAACGCAGCUGCAUCACCCUGCGCAGCUCACUGACCACCUCCCGAACCACAUGCUCCGACGUCUGCUUAGCAGGCUCGCGGGACCAGUACGCACACCAGACGGCGUACAAGAAGGUGGCCCGCAAAGUGCUCCACAGCAGCGCGCCCGCCCCCCGCGGGCCUGAGGCCCACAUACCCAUGCGGUCCCCCAGCAUGAAGCCCGCGUCCGUCACUGGCGGCGCCGCUGCCUGGGGCGCAACGCUCGUGGCCGACUGCGGCCGCCAGCCGGGCAGGCAGCCCCGCUGGCGCUGGCGCGUCGCUGUACACCCACGCCCACGUGGUGGCGGAGUCCGGGCGCACAUGGGUAAGCAGCGCCCGGGUGAGCGUCUUCCAGGGUUGCCGGCCUGGCUGGGCAAGGAGGGCGAAAGUCUUAGCUUGCAGGGCAGACAGGAAUGCAGGCAGGUCGACGUGGUUGACACCCCCAUCCUUGUACGGCAGACAGGCCGUUUCCCGCUUGGGCAGCAGGAGCCCCAGGCCCCCGCAGGCCAGGGCAUCACCAACCACAUCUUUGCCUGUGUGCGGGGCCCCACCUGGGACCCGCAGCUCUCUCACCUGCACUGUGCCAAGUUUGAGAUGCCCGGUGAGGAGCCCAUGCAGGUGGAGGUCCGUGGCGCCCCCCAGGCGGCUGGGACGGCCACGACAGCUGUGGCAGGCAGCCCUGCUCCGGCUGCAGCCGGGGUCGCCGACCUGGGUGGCAACACCUUGGGUGUGGCGCGGCCCGCGGCUGCCAUGGCGACAGCAGCGGACAUUGUUGACCACGUGGGGGACGUGCAGAUGCAGGAGGCGGCGGGUUUGGGUGACGCGGCGGCUGCAGCUGGUGGCGCCAGCGGGCCACACAGCGGGGCCCUGCCCCAGCUGCCAGUUCUGGUGGCGGGGGGAAGCAACCGUGCUGUUGCAGCUGCCCUGCGGGCCGCGCUGCAGCAGCAGCCCUCUUCACAGCAGCGGGUGACAGCGGGAGGGCUUAGCGGGGUCCAGCCGGCGGCAUGUGUGGGGGGGCCGCUGGCGGCCGGGCCUCGCCCUGCCGGUGCUGGGCCGGCUGGCGUGCAGCAGCAGCACAGUGGCGCUCCCGCGCCACUGCCACCCUUGGAUCAGCGGGCAGCCGCCGGGCAGGAUCAGGAGCAGACCGCUGUGAUGCGGCGGUACUUGGCCGAGCUGGCGGAGCUCAAUCUCCAGCGGCAACAGCGGUUACAGCAGCAGCAGCAGCAGCAGCAGGAGCUGCAGCGCCAGGGGCAGUCACCCAGGCCCCGGACCGGCUCCCAGGUUAUGGUCCUGGCCACGCUGGGGGGACAGGACGGGGCGGGCGGUGGCGCUGGCAGGGCGGCGUCACGGCGUGGGCAACGUGUUGACAUAGUUGACCACGUGGGGGACGUGCAGAUGCAGGAGGCGGCGGGUGUGGGUGACGCAGCGGCUGCCGCGGGUGGCGCCAGCGGACCACCCGCUGUGGCCUCGCCCUCGCUGCUAGCUCUGGUGGCGGGGGGAAGCACCCGGGCUGCUGCGGCUCCCCUGAGGGCUGAGCGGCAGCAGCAGCCCUCUUCGCAGCAGCGGGUGGCAACAGGAGGGCUUAGCGGGGGGCAGCCGUCAGCAGGCGUGGGGGGGCCGCCGGCGGCCAGGCGUCGCACUGCCGAUGCUGGGCCGGCUGGCGGGCAGCAGCAGCCCAGUGGGGCUCCCGCGCCGCAGCUGCCCUUUGAUCAGCGGGCAGCCGCCAGGCAGGAUCAGCAGCUGACAGCUGCGAUGCAGCGGUACUUGGCCCACAAGGCGGACCUCCAUCUCCAGCAGCAACGGCGGGUACAGCAACAGCAGCAGCAGGAGCAGCAGUGCCAGGUGCAGCCGCCCAGGCCCCGGACCGGCUCCCGGUUUGAGGUCCUGGCCACGCUGGGGGGACUGGACGGGGCGGGCGAUGGCGCUGCCACGGCGGCGCCCGGGCGUGGGCGACGGGUGCAACCAGCCGCGCACGCACCGCCGCCGCCGCCGCAGCAACAGCCCCGCUCCAAAGGGCGCGGUGGCCCCGCUCAGCUCCCGCAGCAGAGGGCAGGGCGCUUGGGCGGCGGGCUGCCUCCCCCGCAGGACGGUGAUAGCUCGCCGCCGCGCGUGCCCACUGGGCGGCCGGCCGGGGGACAGCAGGCUGGUGGGGGCAGCGGGUUGGGGCGCCAGGGUGGAGGAGCGGGACAGGCAGUGCCCCAGCCGCCGCCCCAGGCGCGGCCGCCACUGCAGACGUCACAACCGGCGGGUGGUGGUAAGGGCAGGGGCAGGGGCCUGGGCGUGCCGGCUGGGGUUUUGGCCAACACGCCUGGGCACGCGGGUGGGGGUGCGGGCAGUGAGGCGGAGUACGGGGCCGUUAGCCUGACCCGAGACACGUGUGUUGCCAUCGGCUCUGACCUCGUGACGCACCAGAACCGCUGCGCAGAUGUGCAGGGGUUUGAGUGGGCGCAGUUGGGCCACGACACGCUUGGUGGCCGCCUCCUCGCCUACCUCCGUGACCAGGGCGCCACCGUACCGGACUGGGCCGUCUGCCGCGUGCCGGCUGGCCGUACCGCCGUCCUGGCACAGCUGCACGACGAGUUCACUGGCUGGUGGCGCCUAUACUCAGCCCAGCCUGCAGACACGCCCCUGCCUUCCGACGUGACGGAGCAGCUGGAUGACGCCGCGCAGCAGGUGCAGACGGCCUACAUGGACUACGUGCUCCUAGACGCCCGCACCCUGCGGUCCGCUAAGCGUGGGCCGGCGGACCCCGGCGGGGCCAGCGGGCCCAGCCGCCGGCAACGCCAGCACCGCAGCCGCAGUACCUCCAGCCUCAUGAGCCUGGGCAGCGCUCCAUUGCGCCCCGGCGGCGCCAGCUCAGGCGCCGCUAGCAUGAGCACCAGCAGCGGCGGCGCGCCCCCCAGCCAGGGUGGCGGCCGCCGCGGCAAACGCCACAUCAGCAACAGCAACCGCAACCGCCACGGCGCUGCCGUGGCCGGCGGGGGCUCAUAAUGCGGCCACCAGUGGGCGCGGCGAACCUUCGGCUGCUGACAGUGAAUGUCAACGGCCUGGGCUCGCCGUUGAAGGCGCGGGCGCUGGUCUCGCACCUGCAGCAAGUUGGGGCGGAUGUGGCGAUGGUGCAGGAGACCCACGCUACUGACACGACCGCGCUGGAGUCUUGCCUUCGUGCCGCGCAGGGGGCGUGCCUUCCGUGGCGCCACUGCCUCGCUGCCAGCCCGGCAGCGUCGCCCCACUCCUGUGGGGCGGCUAUCCUGGCGCGGAGUCGGCUGUCCCUUCCAGGCUGCGUACUGCAGCCGCCGUCAACGGAUGCGGCGGGCCGUGUGGUAUGUUGGGAUUGGGACGUGGGUCACUUGCGCCUGCGCUUCAUGUGUGUGUAUGCGCCCACGGCCGUGGCGGACAAGCCUGCUUUCUUUGCCGGGCUGCAUCCCCACCUGGCCACGGACAGGGUGCUUGUUGUCGGUGGGGACUGGAACUGUGUCACCGAUGCCAGUCAGGAGGCGGCCCCUAGCCCGUCACGUGCUGCAGGUGCCCCGCAACUUGCCAGCCUCCUCGCCCAGUUCAGUAUGGUGGACCCUUGGGCGAGCAAGCGUGGCGGCGCCAAGGGCUACACGCAUCCGGCCACGCCCAAGCCGGCCACUCCUGCACGCCUGGAUCGGUGGUAUGUCAGUGCCACCGCGGCGCCGUGGGUGCUGGAUGUCGCACGCACGUAUGGGGCGCCUGGGGACCACAACGGUGUGCUGCUCACCCUGUCCUUGCCCGACCUGCCACAUGCGCACCGGGAGCAGUGGCGCUUCCCCACAUACCUGCUGUUUCACCCCUCACUGCGUCUGGAGCUCGAGCAGCGCUUGGAGGCGCACGUUGCCGCAAAUCCCGUGGCCAGUACAGGUGACGGCGCUUGCACGCAAUGGGAGGCGGACAAGUUCUUCUUGCGGGAGGCCGCCACCAGCAUCCACCGUCGGCAUGCACGCCAGACCCGGGACGGGCUGCAUGGCGUGGUGCUGGCCGCAGACGCGGCCGCUGCCCUGGCCGACCGGCCCGGUGCCAGCGCCGCGCAGCGUCAGGCUGCGGCCAUGGCCAACUGUCUGGUGGACCCUUGGGCGAGCAAGCGUGGCGGCGCCAAGGGCUACACGCAUCCGGCCACGCCCAAGCCGGCCACUCCCGCACGCCUGGAUCGGUGGUAUGUCAGUGCCACCGCGGCGCCGUGGGUGGUGGAUGUCGCUCGCACGUAUGGGGCGCCUGGGGACCACAACGGUGUGCUGCUCACCCUGUCCUUGCCCGACCUGCCACAUGCGCACCGGGAGCAGUGGCGCUUCCCCACAUACCUGCUGUUUCACCCCUCACUGCGUCUGGAGCUCGAGCAGCGCUUGGAGGCGCACGUUGCCGCAAAUCCCGUGGCCAGUACAGGUGACGGCGCUUGCACGCAAUGGGAGGCGGACAAGUUCUUCUUGCGGGAGGCCGCCACCAGCAUCCACCGUCGGCAUGCACGCCAGACCCGGGAUGGGCUGCAUGGCGUGGUGCUGGCCGCAGACACGGCCGCUGCCCUGGCCGACCGGCCGGGUGCCAGCACCGCGCAGCGUCAGGCUGCGGCCAUGGCCAACUUGGCAGUGCGGGAGGAGCGGGCAGCUGCCGCAGCGGCCAGCCACAAUGCCCGCGCUGCACUGAUGGAGGAGCAUGGGGAGCGGGGCACUCGCUGGUUCCAUCGGCAGGCUGACGAGCCAGCAGCCGGCGCGCAGGAGCCCAUCACGCACUUGAAGGUGCCGGGGCAACCGGCGCCUGUGGCGCUCACGGGGCCGGGCACGCGCAACACUGUCUCCGCCGCCGCCGCAGCCAUGUACAGCAGCACCAGCCCCACCGGCCUGUUCCGCGUGCAGCCGGUCUGUACGGCGUCGCAGCAACAGCUUCUGGCGGCCAUUGACCGCAAGGUUCCGGCGGAUCUGCAGGCCACCGCAGAGGGGUCCGGUGAUGGCGCCCUCAGUGAUGCCGAGCUGAUGGCAGCGCUGGCUGGCUCCGCCAAUGGUAAAGCACCUGGGUCGGACGGGGUUCCGUACAAGAUGUACAAGGUCUUCUGGGCACUGCUGGGCCCGCGCUUGUGUGCUGCUGCUGCCGCUGCCUUUGCUGCCGCUGCAGACGCCCACGAUGGCGGCGAAAUGGCGGCGGCGCUGCCUGCUUCCUGGCGGGAGGGCCUCAUUACGCUCAUCUACAAGGGCAAAAGCCUGGACCGCGCCGAGCUGGCGUCCUACCGGCCCAUCACGCUGCUCAACUGCGACUUCAAGAUGGUGUCCAAGGCCGUCAGCGCCCGCCUGCAGCCCGCCCUGGAUGCAGUUGUGGAUGAGCUGCAGACUGCGUUCAUCACCGGCCGCUGGAUUGGAGACAACGCGCUGUACCUCCAAGGCCUGAUCGAAUGGAUGCGCCUGGACGUGGGCGCGGACGGCACGCCACGGCAGGGUGGUGCGCUGUACUUCUUGGACAUUGAAAAGGCGUAUGACCGGGUGCACCGGCAGUGGCUGUAUGCGUCCGCGGAGGGACUUGGGUUUGGGCCGCGCAUGCUGCGCUGGAUCCGCCUGCUCACUGCCAACGGCUCUGCCCGCGUGUGUGUGAACGGGAUGCUCUCUGACGCCUUCCCAGUGCUGAACGGCUUGCCGCAGGGCAGCACCGCCUCACCACCCCUGUGGGUCAUCCAGAUGCAGCCACUGACGUCCUUUCUUUUUUUUUUGAGGAAUCAUCCUUACAAGGUUGAACAGGGGCAGACGCACUGCCCCCCUGCUGCCUGAAGACAGCCUGGUCCCCGAGACCAGAACCCUGACAGGGCAAGAAGAGAAGAUAAGAAAAGAGAAGAAAACAGAAAGCAAACACCUCGAAACCGCCAUCAACCACCCCCAUCCAUCCCACCCCACCCCACCCCGACCCGGCAGACAGAGCAGGAGGCUGGCCCCCCCGCCCCCCGGGAGGGGUUGCACCAAAACACCGCCAGACCUAACCCAAGCACCAACCUACAACCUACACCACAGCCUAGCCGCAAGAACCACCACCACCGCGCGCCAGAAAAGGAAACACCAGCGCUACGCACUCGCCCCGCCCAAACCCACCCCACCCCCACAAGUCGGCUGCUUAAGCAACACCCCAGGAGAACCGGCAGAGGAGACACAAGCAGAAGACUAAACAGGCCAGAUGUGGCGCUGACUAAGUGGGCUCCAGCCCGCUGCAAGACGCGCUGUGCAGGAAGUCCCACAGCCGCCCAGGCGCUGUGACGCCAGCCAGAGCUAAAACACAUGGGCGCCAGAUAAGCUGAUGACGAUAGUACACCACGCCAGCGCUUGGAAAGAAACGCCGCCCAAAAGGAAACCUAGGGGGCCUGCACAGGUGAUGCAAGCGUCAGCCGCAAGUUCAACUUCGGUGACCCACCCUGAACCUCCUCCACUUCACAAAGCGCGCCACCCGCCGUC
RNAcentral lists this long non-coding RNA (6905 nucleotides) under Chlamydomonas reinhardtii. RNAcentral's name for it is "long non-coding RNA (CREI_LNC001456)". Lineage: Eukaryota; Viridiplantae; Chlorophyta; Chlorophyceae; Chlamydomonadales; Chlamydomonadaceae. The record is from RNAcentral.